UUUGCAAAUGAGGUUUAUCUUGUUGUACUUCAUGAGAUUUUAUGUUCUCCUACUCUGACACGUUUCACGGAAACAGCUCAACGUGUGGUAAUACGUUUCUAUCUUGUUCUCUAUAUGUUGUCCCUCUAAGUAGGAAUCACAUUCAACUCAACCUUUGGUGACUGUGCUUACCUACCUACCCUUUAAACAAUGAAGGUCCUGCUGUUGCUGAUAAUUGCUGUAGUGGGGACGUUCAACAUGUCGGAUGCACAGAAACCACCACCUUGUAUGCGUUCUCUGGCAAUUUGUGAAGUGAUUCUGUUCACCAAAGUGAUCCGUUUUCCUUGCUGUCGACCCCUAACAUGCCAAACUGUCGGAACAAAAAGAUUAUGUGUCUGACCUGCUGGCACAAGCUGUUGUGGACUCUGACAUGACAUGUCAUGUCAAGUUAACACGGACCUGGCAUUGUGAUGUUUAUUAAAUCGCUUUAUUGAAUGUCA
Long non-coding RNA from Pomacea canaliculata, 479 nucleotides. RefSeq lists it as uncharacterized. Lineage: Eukaryota; Metazoa; Mollusca; Gastropoda; Architaenioglossa; Ampullariidae. The record is from RefSeq and is a predicted model, not a curated record. The transcript is spliced from 3 exons.